Molecule: ribosomal RNA, 975 nt
Filed under: Triticum aestivum (bread wheat)
Lineage: Eukaryota; Viridiplantae; Streptophyta; Magnoliopsida; Poales; Poaceae
Description: partial small subunit ribosomal RNA
Source: RNAcentral
AUGAUGCCUUACCACAAGGCCAUGUCCUCCGUCAUACGUCAAAGGCCGGACUUCCACACCUUGUACUCAAGUGAAGUGUUGGAUGAGUUUGUGGCUAUGAGGAUCUUGGACAAGACCACCGACAAUGCGGUGUUGCGUUCUCAAAGAGAAAAGAAGCCCAACCUUUCCUUGAAGGCGAAGGCUAGUGUGGAAGAAGAGGACGAAGAGGAAGAAGAGGAGAGCAACCCUGAAGAUACGAAAUAUGCUUAUCAUGAGCACAUGGCUCUCGCUUUAAGGAAAUUUUGGAGCAAGAAGAACACGAGGCCCAACUUUAACAAGAACAACUCAAGUGGCGUGAAGGGCAAGCAACGUGUGAGGACUUGCUAUAACUAUGGCAAUGUGAGCCAUUUUGUUGCGGAGUGCCCAUAUGAGAAGAGGGAAGACAAUGGUGGCAAGCUCAUCCGAAAAGACAAUGCCAAGUCCUUUCUCAACAAGAGCAACUUCACCAAGACGACUCCUCCCAAGGGGUUGGUGGUACAAGACGAGUACAAUGAGGAUGAUGACGAUGAUGAAGACGGUGAGACGGUUGUCAUGGACUCCGUUGCCAUUGCAACAACUCCACGGGUGUCCCUCUUCGACUCACCCAACGAGAACAUCACCGCCAAGUGCCUCAUGGCCAAAGCCACCAACAAGGUAACUCUCAACAUCAAAACUACCAUCACUACUAAUCCCUCUUUGACAGAUUGCAUUGAUGAAAGUGAGGGGUCUAAUGAGGAAGAAAAUGAAUUUGAGUCUUUUAUGAGUAAGCUCAAGGGUAAAUCCAAGAAGCACUUUGUUGCUCUCUUGGAACAACUUGGUGAAGCCAAUGUCAUGAUCGAGGCUCAUGAAGACACCAUCUCUAAGAUGGAGGGACAUAGUCGUGACUAUGCCGAUGAGAUAUCGGAUCUCUCUAAUGCUCUUGAGGAAGAGUGUGGUCAUUGUUUGGCUCUUGAGUAG